GAUGAACGCUGGCGGCGUGCCUAAUACAUGCAAGUCGAGCGAACAGAUAAGGAGCUUGCUCCUUUGACGUUAGCGGCGGACGGGUGAGUAACACGUGGGUAACCUACCUAUAAGACUGGGAUAACUUCGGGAAACCGGAGCUAAUACCGGAUAACAUUUGGAACCGCAUGGUUCUAAAGUGAAAGAUGGUUUUGCUAUCACUUAUAGGUGGACCCGCGCCGUAUUAGCUAGUUGGUAAGGUAACGGCUUACCAAGGCGACGAUACGUAGCCGACCUGAGAGGGUGAUCGGCCACACUGGAACUGAGACACGGUCCAGACUCCUACGGGAGGCAGCAGUAGGGAAUCUUCCGCAAUGGGCGAAAGCCUGACGGAGCAACGCCGCGUGAGUGAUGAAGGGUUUCGGCUCGUAAAACUCUGUUAUUAGGGAAGAACAAAUGUGUAAGUAACUGUGCACGUCUUGACGGUACCUAAUCAGAAAGCCACGGCUAACUACGUG
RNAcentral lists this ribosomal RNA (497 nucleotides) under uncultured bacterium. RNAcentral's name for it is "partial 16S ribosomal RNA". It matches the Rfam family "Bacterial small subunit ribosomal RNA", at positions 28 to 507 of the family's 1533-position model. The record is from RNAcentral.